This 1404-nucleotide ribosomal RNA is filed under the name uncultured bacterium. RNAcentral's name for it is "bacterial SSU rRNA". It matches the Rfam family "Bacterial small subunit ribosomal RNA". The record is from RNAcentral.
AGAGUUUGAUCCUGGCUCAGGAUGAACGCUAGCGGCAGGCUUAACACAUGCAAGUCGAGGGGCAGCGGGGAGGAAGCUUGCUUUCUCCGCCGGCGACCGGCGCACGGGUGAGUAACACGUAUGCAACCUGCCCCUGUCAGGGGGACAACCCGCCGAAAGGCGGGCUAAACCCGCGUACAUGCCACCGGGGCAUCCCGGAGGCAGGAAAGGCUUCGGCCGGACAGGGAUGGGCAUGCGGCGCAUUAGGCAGUAGGCGGGGUAACGGCCCACCUAACCGACGAUGCGUAGGGGUUCUGAGAGGAAGGUCCCCCACACUGGUACUGAGACACGGACCAGACUCCUACGGGAGGCAGCAGUGAGGAAUAUUGGUCAAUGGUCGGGAGACUGAACCAGCCAAGCCGCGUGAGGGAGGAAGGUACAGAGUAUCGUAAACCUCUUUUGUCAGGGAACAAAGGCGGGGACGUGUCCCCGGAUGAGUGUACCUGAAGAAAAAGCAUCGGCUAACUCCGUGCCAGCAGCCGCGGUAAUACGGAGGAUGCGAGCGUUAUCCGGAUUUAUUGGGUUUAAAGGGUGCGCAGGCGGUCUGUUAAGUCAGCGGUCAAAGCCCGGGGCUCAACCCCGGCCCGCCGUUGAAACUGGCAGUCUCGAGUUGGAGAGAAGUAUGCGGAAUGCGCGGUGUAGCGGUGAAAUGCAUAGAUAUCGCGCAGAACUCCGAUUGCGAAGGCAGCAUGCCGGCUCCACACUGACGCUGAGGCACGAAAGCGUGGGUAUCGAACAGGAUUAGAUACCCUGGUAGUCCACGCAGUAAACGAUGAAUGCUGGCUGUCCGGGGGGACUGACCCCUGGGUGGCGAAGCGAAAGCGAUAAGCAUUCCACCUGGGGAGUACGCCGGCAACGGUGAAACUCAAAGGAAUUGACGGGGGCCCGCACAAGCGGAGGAACAUGUGGUUUAAUUCGAUGAUACGCGAGGAACCUUACCCGGGCUCAAACGGGGAGUGGCGCAGGCAGAGACGCCUGUUUCCCACGGGACACUCCCCGAGGUGCUGCAUGGUUGUCGUCAGCUCGUGCCGUGAGGUGUCGGCUUAAGUGCCAUAACGAGCGCAACCCCUUUCGUCAGUUGCCAUCGGGUAAUGCCGGGCACUCUGGCGACACUGCCGCCGCAAGGUGUGAGGAAGGUGGGGAUGACGUCAAAUCAGCACGGCCCUUACGUCCGGGGCUACACACGUGUUACAAUGGGGCAUACAGAGAGUUGGUCAUGCGCAAGCAUGAUCGGAUCAUGAAAGUGUCCCUCAGUUCGGACUGGGGUCUGCAACCCGACCCCACGAAGCUGGAUUCGCUAGUAAUCGCGCAUCAGCCAUGGCGCGGUGAAUACGUUCCCGGGCCUUGCACACACCGCCCGUCAAG